Falco peregrinus (peregrine falcon) is the source of this 1498-nucleotide long non-coding RNA. RefSeq lists it as uncharacterized. The transcript is spliced from 7 exons. The record is from RefSeq and is a predicted model, not a curated record. NCBI's taxonomy places the organism in Eukaryota, Metazoa, Chordata, Aves, Falconiformes, Falconidae.
CCUCGUGUUACACAAGCUGCUUCAAAUGAAUAAUGUCAAGAGUUCAGAAGAUGGUAGGGAUGUUAAUUCCUACUGAGUUCAGCGCAAGAUAUGCAGCCUGAUAGCUUCUACUGCUGCUGAACGCAUUACCCUUAAGAUAUCAUUAGCCUUUGAAGGAAAGACCAGUGUACUGGGAAUACACGUUAAACUGAUUACUCAUCGUGACAUCUAAGUACUUUUCAGAGGUUACACUCUGGAUUCAAUUUACUGAUUUCCACAGUAACAUCAUUCCCUGCUUUCAUCUGCGCUUGCAGAGAGCACUGGAUCUGAUGCAUUUCAGAUGAAAAGUGUUUCAGGUUGCAUAUGUUUCUGACAGUUUUGCUGUUUAGAGAGUUUCUCAGAAAUCACAGAUCUGAAGAAGAAAGUCAAGCAUCAAAUUUCAAAGAUUACCUGAGCUGCUAGCAGUGGCUGUCUGUCUUCCAUUUCAAUUAUCGUAUGCUGGCGAGGUGCAGCAGAGAGCAGACUAACUGAUACCAGAGCAAUUUUGGUGUGAUGUCGUCCUCUGGGAUUAACCUGACCAUGGGAGAGCAAAUACUUCUUCCAAGGAAUUCAUCUUUACCCUGCAACCAAAAAGGUCAUUUCUUGUUGCCAUUGCAGCUGUGCAGAAAUGAGAUGCAGUCAUUCCAUCUUACUUUACAGAAUGUCUUAUUUCUGGAGAUACCUCUCGGCUCUUACUGAUGGAGAAGCUGCAGCUCUUCUGCACUGUGCUGUUGCAAGGACCUGCUCUUAAGGCUUUAUCCCAGCAAUGGCCCAGGAAGUACACUCAGAAGAGGAACUGAAACAGCAAUUUUUAAACUCUGGAACCAAAUUACUUGGAGAAAGAAAACGCUAUCAAUGAAUCCUACGCCAACACUUCGUGCAAAAGAGAAACAAAACAAGAAGAAAGUGCAAACUUUCCUUAAUGCUAUACAAUCACAUUCAGAGUCAUCAUUUUAGAAGAACAAAGAAGCCUUCCCACCUUACUUGCUCCAAGUUGUAUUUUGGUAAAUAGAGCUCAUCUAUGAAGCUGUGUUACAACUGAAAACCUGAGGAAUAAUUCCAUUCUGAUUAUCUAUUUGUGACAUACAACAUUCUGGCUUCUCCAACACUUUGCUAUCCUUUCUUGUGCUUGGUUGUUUAUACAUGCAAACAUCACAGGUGCAGCUAUUUCCGUGCCUGUUGUUUCUGUAUUAACAUCAUUGUGUACCUGGUGUUAAAACAUUUAAAUUAUGUUCAUGAAAAGCUUGUGCUAUCUUUUCACUGGACGAGAAGGCUCAUUAGUAAUUUGGCUCUUUGCUCUAAAUCUUACAUAAUGUAAUAACAAAAAUAAUUUAAAAAAUAAAUAAGCAUGUUAUGCAAGAGUCUCGACUCCAACUUCAAUAGCUCCUUUCAGACUUUAAACAAUUUAAACAAUAUACAUUGUAUUAGUUCCUCAGUUAUAUAUUAAUCUAACAAUGCAAGGACUAAAACAGCUGAUAUU